Molecule: long non-coding RNA, 373 nt
Organism: Colias croceus (clouded yellow)
Lineage: Eukaryota; Metazoa; Arthropoda; Insecta; Lepidoptera; Pieridae
Exons: 2
Source: RefSeq, a predicted model, not a curated record
AUAAAGCGUUAACACACACAUUUGCAGUCUCUACAGUGUGACUGUCAAAACAAUAAUUUUGUAUGGAGUGUCCGGGGUGUGCUCAAGUGCCAAAAGAUCCGUGUAUUAUUAUAGAAUAAUAAGUAACUGUCAUUUUCAAUUUCAAUUUUUAUCUGUACCAAUGUAUUUAAUUUUCGUUAAGAAAAAAAUAGCUCUCUCAAAACACAAAUUUUUCCCCGAAAUUAUUGUAAUUUAUUGUGAUUUUAAAAAUCUCCAAGCAUGGAGCGAAUGUUGUAAAAAAUGAUUUUAUUCUUAGUUAAAACUUCAAUGUGAAGUUUAUUAUCUGUGAUUAUAGCAAUAAGUUACAUUAAUAAAGUUAUAUUAUUAAAUUUUA